Molecule: long non-coding RNA, 4183 nt
Filed under: Scleropages formosus (Asian bonytongue)
Lineage: Eukaryota; Metazoa; Chordata; Actinopteri; Osteoglossiformes; Osteoglossidae
Description: lncRNA (ENSSFOG00015024526.1)
Source: RNAcentral
GUUGUCGUUGCUGUAGCUGUUGACAUCGCGGCAGUGGUCGGCAUGGUGGUGGUUUCGGUUGUCAUGGGAGUUGUUGUCGUUGCAGUAGUAGUUGAAGUCGCGGCAGUGGUCGGCGUGGUUGUGCUUUCAGUUGUCGUGGGAGUUGUCAUUUCAGUAGUGGUUGACGUCGCGGCACUGGUCGGCAUGGUGGUGGUUCCGGUUGUCGUAGGAGUUGUAGUCGUUGCAGUAGUGGUUGACGUCGCGGCAGUGGUCGGUAUGGUGGUGGUUUCGGUUGUCAUGGGAGUUGUUGUCGUUGCUGUAGUAGUUGACGUCGCGGUAGUGGUUGGAGCUGUUGUGCUUUGGGUUGUCGUGGGAUUUGUCAUUUCAGUAGUGGUUGACGUCGCGGCACUGGUCGGCAUGGUGGUGGUUCCGGUUGUCGUAGGAGUUGUAGUCGUUGCAGUAGUGGUUGACGUCGCGGCAGUGUUCGGCAUGGUGGUGGUUCCGGUUGUCGUGGGAGUGGUUGUCGUUUCAGUAGUAGUUGACAUCGUUGUACUUGUCAGGGUGGUGGUUGUUUCGGUUGUCGUGGGAGUUGUAGUCGUUGCAGUAGUAGUUGUCGUUUCAGUAGUUGUUGUCGUUUCAGUAGUAGUUGACAUCGCGGUAGUGGGUGAUGCCGCAGCAGUGGUCGGCGUGGUGGUGGUUCCGGUUGUCGUGGGAGUUGUAGUAGUUUCAGUAGAAGUUGACGUUGCAGUAGUGGUUGGUGUGGUUAUGCUUUCGGUUGUUGUGGGAGUUGUGGUCGUUUCAGUAGUGGUUGACGCAGAGGUAGUGGUCGGAGUGGUUGUGCUUUCGGUUGUUGUGGGAGUUGUAGUCGUUGCUUUAGUAGUUGACGUUGCGGUAGUGGGUGAUGCCGCAGCAGUGGUCGGCGUGGUGGUGGUUUCGGUUCUCGUGGGAGUUGUAGUCAUUUCAGAAGUCGUUGACGUUCCGGUAGUGGGUGAUGCCGCAGCAGUGGUCGGCGUGGUGGUGGUUCCGGUUGUCGUGGGAGUUGUAGUAGUUUCAGUAGAAGUUGACGUUGCAGUAGUGGUUGGUGUGGUUAUGCUUUCGGUUGUUGUGGGAGUUGUAGUCGUUUCAGUAGUGGUUGACGUCGCGGCAGUGGUCGGCAUGGUGGUGGUUCCGGUUGUCGUGGGAGUUGUAGUCGUUGCAGUAGUGGUUGACGUCGCGGCAGUGUUCGGCAUGGUGGUGGUUCCGGUUGUCGUGGGAGUUGUAGUCAUUUCAGUAGUGAUUGACGCAGAGGUAGUGGUCGGAGUGGUUGUGCUUUCGGUUGUUGUGGGAGUUGUAGUCGUUUCAGUAGUGGUUGACGUCGCGGUCGUGGUUGGAGUGUUUGUGGUUUCGGUUGUCGUGGGAGUUGUAGUCAUUUCAGGAGUAGUUGACGUUGCGGUAGUGGUCGGAGUGGUUGUGCUUUCGGUUGUCGUUGGAGUAGUAGUCGUUUCAGUUGUAGUUGACGUCGCAGUAGUGGUUGGCGUGGUUAUGCUUUCGGUUAUCGUGGGAGUUGUUGUCGUUGCUGUAGUAGUUGACGUCGCAGAAGUGGUUGACACCGCGGCAGUCGUCGGCGUGGUGGUGGUUCCGGUUGUCGUGGGAGUUGUAGUCGUUGCAGUAGUGGUUGACGUCGCGGCAGUGUUCGGCAUGGUGGUGGUUUCGGUUGUCGUGGGAGUUGUUGUCGUUUCAGUAGUAGUUGACGCAGAGGUAGUGGUCGGAGCUGUUGUGCUUUGGGUUGUCGUGGGAGUUGUUGUCGUUGCUGUAGUAGUUGACGUCGCGGUAGUGGGUGAUGCCGCAGCAGUGGUCGGCGUGGUGGUGGUUCCGAUUGUCGUGGGAGUUGUUGUCGUUUCAGUAGUAGUUGACAUCGCGGUAGUGGGUGAUGCCGCAGCAGUGGUCGGCGUGGUGGUGGUUCCGGUUGUCGUGGGAGUUGUAGUAGUUUCAGUAGAAGUUGACGUUGCAGUAGUGGUUGGUGUGGUUAUGCUUUCGGUUGUUGUGGGAGUUGUGGUCGUUUCAGUAGUGGUUGACGCAGAGGUAGUGGUCGGAGUGGUUGUGCUUUCGGUUGUUGUGGGAGUUGUAGUCGUUGCUGUAGUAGUUGACGUCGCGGUAGUGGGUGAUGCCGCAGCAGUGGUCGGCGUGGUGGUGGUUCCGGUUGUCGUGGGAGUUGUAGUAGUUUCAGUAGAAGUUGACGUUGCAGUAGUGGUUGGUGUGGUUAUGCUUUCGGUUGUUGUGGGAGUUGUAGUCGUUUCAGUAGUGGUUGACGUCGCGGUCGUGGUUGGAGUGUUUGUGGUUUCGGUUGUCGUGGGAGGUGUAAUCAUUUCAGUAGUGGUUGACGUCGCGGUAGUGGUCGGAGUGGUUGUGCUUUCGGUUGUUGUGGGAGUUGUAGUCAUUUCAGGAGUAGUUGACGUUGCGGUAGUGGUCGGAGUGGUUGUGCUUUCGGUUGUCGUUGGAGUAGUAGUCGUUUCAGUUGUAGUUGACGUUGCAGUAGUGGUUGGCGUGGUUAUGCUUUCGGUUAUCGUGGGAGUUGUUGUCCUUGCUGUAGUAGUUGACGUCGCAGAAGUGGUUGACGCUGCGGCAGUAGUCGGCGUGGUGGUGGUUUCAGUUCUCGUGGGAAUUGUAGUCGUUGCAGUAGUAGUUGACGUCGUGGAAGUGGUUGACGCCGCGGCAGUGGUCGGCGUGGUGGUUGUGCUUUCGAUUGUUGUGGGAGUUGUAGUAGUUGCAGUAGAAGUUGACGUCGCAGUAGUGGUUGGCGUGGUUAUGCUUUCAGUUGUCAUGGGAGUUGUCGUUUCAGUAGUGGUUGACGUCGUGGAAGUGGUUGACGCCGCAGCAGUAGUCAGCGUGGUGGUCGUUUCAGUAGUAGCUGAGGCCACGGUAGUGGUCGGCGUGGUUGUGCUUUCGGUUGUCAUGGGAGUUGUAGUCAUUUCAGUAAUAGUUGACGUCGCGGAAGUGGGUGACACCGCAGCAGUGGUCGGCGUGGUGGUGGUUUCGGUUGUCGUGGGAGUUGACGUCGUUUCAGAAGUAGUUGAAGUCGCGGUAGUGGUCGGCGUGGUGAUGCUUUCGGUUGUCGUGGGAGUUGUAGUCGUUGCAGUAGCUGUUGAUAUCGCGGCAGUGCUCAGCGUGGUGGUGGUUUCAGUUGUCGAGGGAGGUGUAGUCAUUUCAGUAGUAGUUGACGCAGAGGUAGUGGUCGGAGUGGUUGUGCUUUCGGUUGUUGUGGGAGUUGUAGUCGUUUCAGUAGUGGUUGACGUCGCGGUCGUGGUUGGAGUGUUUGUGGUUUCGGUUGUUGUGGGAGUUGUAGUCAUUUCAGGAGUAGUUGACGUUGCAGUAGUGGUCGGAGUGGUUGUGCUUUCGGUUGUCGUUGGAGUAGUAGUCGUUUCAGUUGUAGUUGACGUCGCAGUAGUGGUCGGCGUGGUUGUGCUUUCGGUUGUCGUUGUCAUUGUAAUCAUUUCUGUAGUACCUGAUGUCACUGUUGUGGUCGGAGUGGUUGUGUUUUCGGUUGCCGUUGGAGUUGUAGUCGUUUCGUUUGUAUUUUGGCCUUUUAUUGCUGUGGCUUGAGAGCAAUGUGCAAACAUUAGUUUUAAAUUUUAAUUUAAGCCUUUGUGCUUUUACAUUUUUCGAUGUAUACUUUAUACUAUGUUAAACCAUGUAGAAUUUGUUUAUCUUAGUCUUGAAGUUUAACAUUUUUUCAAAAUCUUUUUAUUGGAUAUCCUCAGUUCAGUAGAUUCCAGAUUGAUUCUAUAUAUUUUCCAUUUUGCUUAUUUAAUAAUAUGUUAAAUUUAUGUUCAUGAUGCUGAAGGUGUGAAUUGUUGAAGGAAUCAUUUCAUGGCUCUUUAUCCUUACCAGUCAAAAGAAAGAGUGCGAAUCUCCCCACCGUCCACAUAGUGGCAAGAAGUUCUCGUCACCUGCAAUGUGAACACUUUCUUUAGUAUUAAUACGAGUUCAGCGUGAAGAGCUCCAUGUUUAGUAUUUAUAUGAGUGCAGUGUCAAGUGCUCAGUGUUGACUAAUAGUAUGAUUACAGUGUUAAGGACUGUUUUCCUAUGCUUCAAAGCCAAUAAUUUGUGUUGUUUGUAUUUGUACAUUGAUCAAAUGUUAUUACUUCCCUAAGUAUUGUGUUCCAAUUUGAUAUGCUGACAGUACAUAAAGAUUGCACAAGCCAGGCGGUUUGUUAUAGAGUAAAUU